RNAcentral lists this ribosomal RNA (466 nucleotides) under uncultured bacterium. RNAcentral describes it as "partial 16S ribosomal RNA". It matches the Rfam family "Bacterial small subunit ribosomal RNA", at positions 29 to 507 of the family's 1533-position model. The record is from RNAcentral.
ACGCACGCUGGCGGCGUGCUUAACACAUGCAAGUCGAACGGAAAGGCCUCAGCUUGCUGGGGUACUCGAGUGGCGAACGGGUGAGUAACACGUGGGUGAUCUGCCUUGCACUCUGGGAUAAGCUUGGGAAACUGGGUCUAAUACCGGAUAUGAACUGCCUUUAGUGUGGUGGUUGGAAAGUUUUUUCGGUGCAAGAUGAGCUCGCGGCCUAUCAGCUUGUUGGUGGGGUAAUGGCCUACCAAGGCGUCGACGGGUAGCCGGCCUGAGAGGGUGUACGGCCACAUUGGGACUGAGAUACGGCCCAGACUCCUACGGGAGGCAGCAGUGGGGAAUAUUGCACAAUGGGCGGAAGCCUGAUGCAGCGACGCCGCGUGGGGGAUGACGGCCUUCGGGUUGUAAACUCCUUUCGACAGGGACGAAGCUUUUUGUGACGGUACCUGUAUAAGAAGCACCGGCUAACUACGUG